RNAcentral lists this ribosomal RNA (496 nucleotides) under uncultured bacterium. RNAcentral describes it as "partial 16S ribosomal RNA". It matches the Rfam family "Bacterial small subunit ribosomal RNA", at positions 28 to 506 of the family's 1533-position model. The record is from RNAcentral.
GAUGAACGCUGGCGGCGUGCCUAAUACAUGCAAGUCGAGCGAACGGACGAGAAGCUUGCUUCUCUGAUGUUAGCGGCGGACGGGUGAGUAACACGUGGAUAACCUACCUAUAAGACUGGGAUAACUUCGGGAAACCGGAGCUAAUACCGGAUGAUAUUUUGAACCGCAUGGUUCAAAAGUGAAAGACGGUCUUGCUGUCACUUAUAGAUGGAUCCGCGCUGCAUUAGCUAGUUGGUAAGGUAACGGCUUACCAAGGCAACGAUGCAUAGCCGACCUGAGAGGGUGAUCGGCCACACUGGAACUGAGACACGGUCCAGAAUCCUACGGGAGGCAGCAGUAGGGAAUCUUCCGCAAUGGGCGAAAGCCUGACGGAGCAACGCCGCGUGAGUGAUGAAGGUCUUCGGAUCGUAAAACUCUGUUAUUAGGGAAGAACAUAUGUGUAAGUAACUGUGCACAUCUUGACGGUACCUAAUCAGAAAGCCACGGCUAACUACGU